Molecule: long non-coding RNA, 848 nt
Organism: Gallus gallus (chicken)
Lineage: Eukaryota; Metazoa; Chordata; Aves; Galliformes; Phasianidae
Exons: 3
Source: RefSeq, a predicted model, not a curated record
UGACCUCACGAAGGUUGGAUUUCCAUUUUCUGAAGGACCAUUGUGUGGCCCAAGCACCUUCCUGAACCCUGCUUCAUACCUGCUUGGCUCUGCCUUCAUCGCGCUCAUGCCCACGCAUGCAUCUUGAGCCCAUCAUUGAUGCCAGCUCUCAGUACAGCUGAGCAUAUGCUGAGAUCUCGUUAAUGGCAAUUAAACUGGAGCGCGUGGUUAAGUACCUUGCAGAAGGUAGCUGCUUUGCUGUGUCACUUCUUAAAGAGCAUCCCUGCCAAAUUUCAGAAUUUUAAUCUCUUCACUAUUGACUCUGGGUGCUGUCGGCCCGCUUCCUCCUUUUGUUGCAAUCUCUCCAUCUAAAGCAUGAUUUCUCUAACAAUGAGCGCUCUCCUCGCGAUGGGCUGAAGAGGAGCUGAGCUGCUGGCACGCGGGAGCCCACGCCAUGCUUCAGAAUGAGCUCAGCAAGUUAUUAUUCUGUGCAAGCACGAUGCCCUCCCAGGACAACACUACAGGACGGCAUUUGCUUGGAUAAAACAGUUUGCCAACACUUGCUAUUGAGGAAAUUUGUGGUCUGUGCAUUGGGGAAUGACUCAGUGGAGCCAGGAGCUGUCUGAAAGCCCCCACUGAGGAUUUGCUCUGAGUACAGCCUGCGGGGCUGGUGGGUGGGCAAACAAUGUGGCUCAGGAGCUCCUGUUCAAUAAAAUGAAUUUGUCUCCAAAUAGACUUCGCCUUGUUUCACUCAAAAUACUUCAUUUUUCUGCACUAAAACACAAGAGAAGAGAAGGUUUAGUUGAAAAGCUGUCAUGCACCAGUGAUGCCUAUCUCCAACCAUAACUGGCUCCCAUGCAGCUGCCUUG